GGGUAGAUAGCUCAGUGAUAGAGUGCAUGCCUAGCAUGUAUUAGGUCCUGGGUUCAAUCCUCAGUACCUCCA
This 72-nucleotide transfer RNA is filed under the name Camelus bactrianus (Bactrian camel). It matches the Rfam family "tRNA". From Rfam's summary of the family: Transfer RNA (tRNA) molecules are approximately 80 nucleotides in length. RNAcentral also lists the same sequence under 2 other names. The record is from Rfam by way of RNAcentral. Lineage: Eukaryota; Metazoa; Chordata; Mammalia; Artiodactyla; Camelidae.